UUGACAUCGUUUAUUCUUUAACCUAAUUUAGUGAGUAAGGGUCCUGAGACUGACUGUUAAUAAGCUGGCAAAUUUAUCAGUAACAGUACAAUCAGUAUGAUGACAAGUCACAUCAUACCCCUUCUCCUUU
Molecule: small RNA, 130 nt
Filed under: Escherichia marmotae
Lineage: Bacteria; Pseudomonadati; Pseudomonadota; Gammaproteobacteria; Enterobacterales; Enterobacteriaceae
Description: Short Intergenic Abundant RNA
Rfam family: Short Intergenic Abundant RNA
About the family: This family contains multiple ncRNA from E. coli that were identified in a large scale screen of E. coli, were they were called candidates 43,55 and 61. These RNAs have also been identified by other groups and called QUAD RNAs.
Source: RNAcentral